UACGUAGGUGACCAGCGUUGUCCGGAUUUACUGGGCGUAAAGAGCGCGCAGGCGGUCGUUCAAGUCGAGUGUGAAAGCCCCCGGCUCAACUGGGGAGGGUCAUUCGAUACUGAUCGACUCGAAGGCAGGAGAGGGAAGUGGAAUUCCCGGUGUAGUGGUGAAAUGCGUAGAUAUCUGGAGGAACACCGGUGGCGAAGGCGACGUCCUGGACCGGCAUUGACGCUGAGGCGCGAAAGCCAGGGGAGCAAACGGG
RNAcentral lists this ribosomal RNA (253 nucleotides) under uncultured bacterium. RNAcentral describes it as "partial 16S ribosomal RNA". It matches the Rfam family "Bacterial small subunit ribosomal RNA", at positions 524 to 776 of the family's 1533-position model. The record is from RNAcentral.